GCCGCCGUGGCUCAGCUGGCAGAGCGGGUGACUUGUAAUCACCAGGUCGCGGGUUCGAACCCCGCCGGCGGCU
RNAcentral lists this transfer RNA (73 nucleotides) under Archaeoglobus fulgidus. RNAcentral describes it as "tRNA-Thr". It matches the Rfam family "tRNA". Rfam says of the family: Transfer RNA (tRNA) molecules are approximately 80 nucleotides in length. Their secondary structure includes four short double-helical elements and three loops (D, anti-codon, and T loops). RNAcentral also lists the same sequence under 2 other names. Lineage: Archaea; Methanobacteriati; Methanobacteriota; Archaeoglobi; Archaeoglobales; Archaeoglobaceae. The record is from RNAcentral.